RNAcentral lists this ribosomal RNA (446 nucleotides) under uncultured bacterium. RNAcentral describes it as "partial 16S ribosomal RNA". It matches the Rfam family "Bacterial small subunit ribosomal RNA", at positions 338 to 795 of the family's 1533-position model. The record is from RNAcentral.
CCUACGGGUGGCAGCAGUCGAGAAUCAUUCACAAUGGGGGAAACCCUGAUGGUGCGACGCCGCGUGGGGGAAUGAAGGUCUUUGGAUUGUAAACCCCUGUCAUGUGGGAGCAAAUUAAAAAGAUAGUACCACAAGAGGAAGAGACGGCUAACUCUGUGCCAGCAGCCGCGGUAAUACAGAGGUCUCAAGCGUUGUUCGGAAUCACUGGGCGUAAAGCGUGCGUAGGCUGUUUCGUAAGUCGUGUGUGAAAGGCGCGGGCUCAACCCGCGGACGGCACAUGAUACUGCGAGACUAGAGUAAGGGAGGGGGAACCGGAAUUCUCGGUGUAGCAGUGAAAUGCGUAGAUAUCGAGAGGAACACUCGUGGCGAAGGCGGGUUCCUGGACAUUAACUGACGCUGAGGCACGAAGGCCAGGGGAGCGAAAGGGAUUAGAUACCCGUGUAGUC